GGCUUAGAGUUUGAUCAUGGCUCAGAUUGAACGCUGGCGGCAGGCCUAACACAUGCAAGUCGAACGGUAACAGGAAGAAGCUUGCUUCUUUGCUGACGAGUGGCGGACGGGUGAGUAAUGUCUGGGAAACUGCCUGAUGGUGGGGGAUAACUACUGGAAACGGUAGCUAAUACCGCAUAACGUCGCAAGACCAAAGAGGGGGACCUUCGGGCCUCUUGCCAUCGGAUGUGCCCAGAUGGGAUUAGCUAGUAGGUGGGGUAACGGCUCACCUAGGCGACGAUCCCUAGCUGGUCCGAGAGGAUGACCAGCCACACUGGAACUGAGACACGGUCCAGACUCCUACGGGAGGCAGCAGUGGGGAAUAUUGCACAAUGGGCGCAAGCCUGAUGCAGCCAUGCCGCGUGUAUGAAGAAGGCCUUCGGGUUGUAAAGUACUUUCAGCGGGGAGGAAGGGAGUAAAGUUAAUACCUUUGCUCAUUGACGUUACCCGCAGAAGAAGCACCGGCUAACUCCGUGCCAGCAGCCGCGGUAAUACGGAGGGUGCAAGCGUUAAUCGGAAUUACUGGGCGUAAAGCGCACGCAGGCGGUUUGUUAAGUCAGAUGUGAAAUCCCCGGGCUCAACCUGGGAACUGCAUCUGAUACUGGCAAGCUUGAGUCUCGUAGAGGGGGGUA
This 671-nucleotide ribosomal RNA is filed under the name uncultured organism. RNAcentral's name for it is "bacterial SSU rRNA". It matches the Rfam family "Bacterial small subunit ribosomal RNA", at positions 1 to 663 of the family's 1533-position model. The record is from RNAcentral.